GCAACGGCGGCUUUUCAGGCCGCAGGUCUUGGAGAAAAGCCAAGCAGGAACU
Molecule: transfer RNA, 52 nt
Filed under: Spheniscus humboldti (Humboldt's penguin)
Lineage: Eukaryota; Metazoa; Chordata; Aves; Sphenisciformes; Spheniscidae
Also listed under: 1 other name
Description: tRNA-Glu
Source: RNAcentral